This 73-nucleotide transfer RNA is filed under the name Loxodonta africana (African savanna elephant). It matches the Rfam family "tRNA". From Rfam's summary of the family: Transfer RNA (tRNA) molecules are approximately 80 nucleotides in length. Their secondary structure includes four short double-helical elements and three loops (D, anti-codon, and T loops). The record is from Rfam by way of RNAcentral. Lineage: Eukaryota; Metazoa; Chordata; Mammalia; Proboscidea; Elephantidae.
CCCUGGGUAGCGUGAACAGUUAAGCACUUGACUGCUAAUCAAAAGGUUGGUGGUUUGAACCCAUCCACAGGCU